This 324-nucleotide long non-coding RNA is filed under the name Brassica napus (rape). RNAcentral's name for it is "long non-coding RNA (BNAP_LNC013473)". Lineage: Eukaryota; Viridiplantae; Streptophyta; Magnoliopsida; Brassicales; Brassicaceae. The record is from RNAcentral.
AUAAAGGUAAAGAACAUGCACAUCCCAUAUAUGUAAUAUGAAUGCCAUGUAUACUUAGCAAAAAAUGAAUGCCAUGUAUAUAGAUAUAGACGAACACAAGAUACGUGAAAGCUAAGGCAUCGGAAAGUUGGUUGAUCGCAAGGAAUUGGAUACGGCUCGAGAUGGCAUCACAUGUCAUUGUAAUCCAUAGAUCUCAAUAAUGUGUUUCCACUUUUUUUGUUACUUCCAUCAGCAAUAUAUUCCAAAAAUAUUUUGUAUUUUUACGAUAAGAAAAAGCGAAUUCAUUUUUUUCAAGAUUAAUAGGUUUCCACUCUUAUAAAAGCA